GAUCCUGGCUCAGGACGAACGCUGGCGGCGUGCCUAACACAUGCAAGUCGAGCGAGUGGAGUUCUUCGGAACAAAGCUAGCGGCGGACGGGUGAGUAACACGUGGGCAACCUGCCUCAUAGAGGGGAAUAGCCUUCCGAAAGGGAGAUUAAUACCGCAUAAGAUUGUAGCUUCGCAUGAAGUAGCAAUUAAAGGAGCAAUCCGCUAUGAGAUGGGCCCGCGGCGCAUUAGCUAGUUGGUGAGGUAACGGCUCACCAAGGCGACGAUGCGUAGCCGACCUGAGAGGGUGAUCGGCCACAUUGGGACUGAGACACGGCCCAGACUCCUACGGGAGGCAGCAGUGGGGAAUAUUGCACAAUGGGGGAAACCCUGAUGCAGCAACGCCGCGUGAGUGAUGACGGCCUUCGGGUUGUAAAGCUCUGUCUUCAGGGACGAUAAUGACGGUACCUGAGGAGGAAGCCACGGCUAACUACGUGCCAGCAGCCGCGGUAAUACGUAGGUGGCGAGCGUUGUCCGGAUUUACUGGGCGUAAAGGGAGCGUAGGCGGGCUUUUUAGUGAGAUGUGAAAUACUCGGGCUCAACUUGAGUGCUGCAUUUCAAACUGGAAGUCUAGAGUGCAGGAGAGGAGAAUGGAAUUCCUAGUGUAGCGGU
This 650-nucleotide ribosomal RNA is filed under the name uncultured bacterium. RNAcentral describes it as "bacterial SSU rRNA". It matches the Rfam family "Bacterial small subunit ribosomal RNA", at positions 15 to 682 of the family's 1533-position model. The record is from RNAcentral.